This 844-nucleotide ribosomal RNA is filed under the name uncultured bacterium. RNAcentral's name for it is "bacterial SSU rRNA". It matches the Rfam family "Bacterial small subunit ribosomal RNA", at positions 30 to 898 of the family's 1533-position model. The record is from RNAcentral.
CGAACGCUGGCGGCAUGGCUAAGACAUGCAAGUCGAACGCUCUGUGGCAACACAGAGAGUGGCGGACGGGCGAGUAAUGGAUAGGCAACCAACCCUGGACACGGGGAUAGCCCGCUGAAAGGCGGGGUAAUACCCGAUGAUCUCGAGAGGUCAAAAGGCCUUUCGAGCAAAGCUCCGGCGGUCCGGGACGGGCCUAUUUCCUAUCAGGUAGUUGGCAGGGUAACGGCCUACCAAGCCGAAGACGGGUAGCGGGGCUGAGAGGUCGGCCCGCCGCAUCGGGACUGAGACACUGCCCGGACACCUACGGGUGGCUGCAGUAACGAAUCUUGUCCAAUGGGCGCAAGCCUGAGACAGCGAUGCCGCGUGCAGGAUGAAGUCCUUCGGGAUGUAAACUGCUGUCAGGGGUAAGGAAGAUCUGACCCAACCCAGAGGAAGGCUCGACUAACUUCGUGCCAGCAGUCGCGGUAAGACGAAGGAGCCAAGCGUUGUUCGGAACCACUGGGCUUAAAGCGUGCGUAGGCGGCCUGAAGGGUGUUGUGUGAAAUCCCCCGGCUCAACCGGGGAACGGCACGGCAAACCGCCAGGCUUGAGGCAGAUAGGGGCGACUAGAACUCUAGGUGGAGCGGUGAAAUGCGUUGAUAUCUAGGGGAACGCCGGUGGUGAAAACGGGUCGCUGGGUCUGUCCUGACGCUGAGGCACGAAAGCGUGGGGAGCGAACGGGAUUAGAUACCCCGGUAGUCCACGCCGUAAACGAUGCGCACUAGAUUUGAGCAGCUCUGAGGUUGCUCGGGUCGAAGCAAAAGUGAUAAGUGCGCCGCCUGGGGAGUACGGCCGCAAGGCUAAA